This 549-nucleotide ribosomal RNA is filed under the name uncultured bacterium. RNAcentral describes it as "bacterial SSU rRNA". It matches the Rfam family "Bacterial small subunit ribosomal RNA", at positions 355 to 896 of the family's 1533-position model. The record is from RNAcentral.
UGGGGAAUUUUGGACAAUGGGCGCAAGCCUGAUCCAGCCAUGCCGCGUGUCUGAAGAAGGCCUUCGGGUUGUAAAGGACUUUUGUCAGGGAAGAAAAGGAUAGGGUUAAUACCCCUGUCUGAUGACGGUACCUGAAGAAUAAGCACCGGCUAACUACGUGCCAGCAGCCGCGGUAAUACGUAGGGUGCGAGCGUUAAUCGGAAUUACUGGGCGUAAAGCGGGCGCAGACGGUUACUUAAGCAGAAUGUGAAAUCCCCGGGCUCAACCUGGGAACUGCGUUCUGAACUGGGUGACUAGAGUGUGUCAGAGGGAGGUAGAAUUCCACGUGUAGCAGUGAAAUGCGUAGAGAUGUGGAGGAAUACCGAUGGCGAAGGCAGCCUCCUGGGAUAACACUGACGUUCAUGCCCGAAAGCGUGGGUAGCAAACAGGAUUAGAUACCCUGGUAGUCCACGCCCUAAACGAUGUCGAUUAGCUGUUGGGCAGCUUGACUGCUUAGUAGCGAAGCUAACGCGUGAAAUCGACCGCCUGGGGAGUACGGUCGCAAGAUUA